AUCGCUUCUCUGCCUUUUGGCUAAAAUCAAGUGUAGUAUCUGUUCUUGGGUUUGGGGGAUUAAGAUAGCUGACCAUAGAAGAGAAAAAUUUAACCAUAAAAGUGGUGCCAGGGCUCGAAACUAACGAUUGCCCGAUUGCCCGGGGCAAGUAGCGAUGGCAGACGGGCAAGUAGAAUUUUUCCUCACUUGCCCGAACUUGC
Molecule: small nuclear RNA, 200 nt
Organism: Syngnathus typhle (broad-nosed pipefish)
Lineage: Eukaryota; Metazoa; Chordata; Actinopteri; Syngnathiformes; Syngnathidae
Product: U2 spliceosomal RNA
Exons: 1
Source: RefSeq, a predicted model, not a curated record